Molecule: ribosomal RNA, 333 nt
Filed under: uncultured bacterium
Lineage: Bacteria
Description: bacterial SSU rRNA
Rfam family: Bacterial small subunit ribosomal RNA
Source: RNAcentral
CGUGUAGGCGGCUCCUUAAGUCUGAUGUGAAAGCCCUGGGCUCAACCCGGGAAGUGCAUUGGAAACUGGGGAACUUGAAUACGGGAGAGGGUAGUGGAAUUCCUGGUGUAGGAGUGAAAUCCGUAGAUAUCAGGAGGAACACCGGUGGCGAAGGCGGCUGCCUGGACCGAUAUUGACGCUGAGACGCGAAAGCGUGGGGAGACAAACAGGAUUAGAUACCCUGGUAGUCCACGCCGUAAACGAUGAGUACUAGGUGUUGCGGGUAUUGACCCCUGCAGUGCCGCAGCUAACGCAUUAAGUACUCCGCCUGGGAAGUACGGUCGCAAGACUAAA